This 328-nucleotide unclassified non-coding RNA is filed under the name soil metagenome. Its description in RNAcentral is "partial contains 5.8S ribosomal RNA, internal transcribed spacer 2, and large subunit ribosomal RNA". The stretch from base 1 to 120 matches the Rfam family "5.8S ribosomal RNA", at positions 35 to 154 of the family's 154-position model. The record is from RNAcentral.
GAUGAAGAACGCAGCGAAAUGCGAUAAGUAGUGUGAAUUGCAGAAUUCAGUGAAUCAUCGAAUCUUUGAACGCACAUUGCGCCCCUUGGUAUUCCGAGGGGCAUGCCUGUUCGAGCGUCAUUAUAACCCCUCAAGCUCAGCUUGGUAUUGGGGCCUGCCAUCCUGGCAGCCCUUAAAAUCAGUGGCGGUGCCAUCCGGCUCUAAGCGUAGUAACUCUUCUCGCUAUGGAGUCCUGGUGGAUGCUUGCCAUUAAUCUUUUAACUUCUAUGGUUGACCUCGGAUCAGGUAGGGAUACCCGCUGAACUUAAGCAUAUCAAUAAGCGGAGGA